RNAcentral lists this transfer RNA (76 nucleotides) under Brevundimonas bullata. Its description in RNAcentral is "tRNA-Trp". It matches the Rfam family "tRNA". Rfam says of the family: Transfer RNA (tRNA) molecules are approximately 80 nucleotides in length. Their secondary structure includes four short double-helical elements and three loops (D, anti-codon, and T loops). RNAcentral also lists the same sequence under 36 other names. The record is from RNAcentral. Lineage: Bacteria; Pseudomonadati; Pseudomonadota; Alphaproteobacteria; Caulobacterales; Caulobacteraceae.
AGGAGUGUAGCUCAGCUGGUAGAGCAUCGGUCUCCAAAACCGAGGGUCGUGGGUUCGAGUCCCUCCGCUCCUGCCA